This 471-nucleotide ribosomal RNA is filed under the name Escherichia coli. RNAcentral's name for it is "bacterial SSU rRNA". It matches the Rfam family "Bacterial small subunit ribosomal RNA", at positions 1 to 468 of the family's 1533-position model. The record is from RNAcentral. RNAcentral also lists the same sequence under 1 other name. Lineage: Bacteria; Pseudomonadati; Pseudomonadota; Gammaproteobacteria; Enterobacterales; Enterobacteriaceae.
AAAUUGAAGAGUUUGAUCAUGGCUCAGAUUGAACGCUGGCGGCAGGCCUAACACAUGCAAGUCGAACGGUAACAGGAAGCAGCUUGCUGUUUCGCUGACGAGUGGCGGACGGGUGAGUAAUGUCUGGGAAACUGCCUGAUGGAGGGGGAUAACUACUGGAAACGGUAGCUAAUACCGCAUAACGUCGCAAGACCAAAGAGGGGGACCUUCGGGCCUCUUGCCAUCGGAUGUGCCCAGAUGGGAUUAGCUUGUUGGUGGGGUAACGGCUCACCAAGGCGACGAUCCCUAGCUGGUCUGAGAGGAUGACCAGCCACACUGGAACUGAGACACGGUCCAGACUCCUACGGGAGGCAGCAGUGGGGAAUAUUGCACAAUGGGCGCAAGCCUGAUGCAGCCAUGCCGCGUGUAUGAAGAAGGCCUUCGGGUUGUAAAGUACUUUCAGCGGGGAGGAAGGGAGUAAAGUUAAUACCU